ACAUGCAAGUCGAGCGGAGUUUAUCCUUCGGGGUAAACUUAGCGGCGGACGGGUGAGUAACACGUAGGCAACCUACCCUCUAGACUGGGAUAACUACCGGAAACGGUAGCUAAUACCGGAUAAUUCCUUGACCCACCUGGGAUAAGGAUGAAAGGCGGAGCAAUCUGCUGCUAGAGGAUGGGCCUGCGGCGCAUUAGCUAGUUGGUGGGGUAACGGCCUACCAAGGCGACGAUGCGUAGCCGACCUGAGAGGGUGAACGGCCACACUGGGACUGAGACACGGCCCAGACUCCUACGGGAGGCAGCAGUAGGGAAUCUUCCGCAAUGGGCGAAAGCCUGACGGAGCAACGCCGCGUGAGUGAUGAAGGUUUUCGGAUCGUAAAGCUCUGUUGCCAGGGAAGAACGUCCGGUAGAGUAACUGCUGCCGGAGUGACGGUACCUGAGAAGAAAGCCCCGGCUAACUACGUGCCAGCAGCCGCGGUAAUACGUAGGGGGCAAGCGUUGUCCGGAAUUAUUGGGCGUAAAGCGCGCGCAGGCGGCUGCUUAAGUCUGGUGUUUAAACCUUGGGCUCAACCUGGGGUCGCACUGGAAACUGGGCAGCUUGAGUACAGAAGAGGAAAAGUGGAAUUCCACGUGUAGCGGUGAAAUGCGUAGAGAUGUGGAGGAACACCAGUGGCGAAGGCGACUUUCUGGGCUGUAACUGACGCUGAGGCGCGAAGCGUGGGGAGCAAACAGGAUUAGAUACCUGGUAGUCCACGCCGUAAACGAUGAGUGCUAGUGUUAGG
RNAcentral lists this ribosomal RNA (784 nucleotides) under Paenibacillus sonchi. Its description in RNAcentral is "bacterial SSU rRNA". It matches the Rfam family "Bacterial small subunit ribosomal RNA", at positions 53 to 826 of the family's 1533-position model. Lineage: Bacteria; Bacillati; Bacillota; Bacilli; Caryophanales; Paenibacillaceae. The record is from RNAcentral.